UACGAAGGGGGCUAGCGUUGUUCGGAAUUACUGGGCGUAAAGCGCACGUAGGCGGAUACUUAAGUCAGGGGUGAAAUCCCGGGGCUCAACCCCGGAACUGCCUUUGAAACUGUCUGGCUUGAGGCCGGGAGAGGGUAGCGGAAUUCCCAGUGUAGCGGUGAAAUGCGUAGAUACUGGGAGGAACACCGGUGGCGAAGGCGGCUACCUGGACCGGUUCUGACGCUGAUGCGCGAAAGCGUGGGUAGCAAACAGG
RNAcentral lists this ribosomal RNA (253 nucleotides) under uncultured bacterium. RNAcentral's name for it is "partial 16S ribosomal RNA". It matches the Rfam family "Bacterial small subunit ribosomal RNA", at positions 524 to 776 of the family's 1533-position model. The record is from RNAcentral.